UACGUAGGGUGCGAGCGUUGUCCGGAAUUAUUGGGCGUAAAGGGCUCGUAGGCGGUUUGUCGCGUCGGGAGUGAAAUCCACUGGCUUAACUGGUGGCUUGCUUUCGAUACGGGCUAGCUAGAGUGUGGUAGGGGAGAUCGGAAUUCCUGGUGUAGCGGUGAAAUGCGCAGAUGUCAGGAGGAACACCAAUUGCGAAGGCAGCUCGCUGGGACGUUACUGACGCUGAGACGCGAAAGCGUGGGGAGCAAACAGG
Molecule: ribosomal RNA, 253 nt
Filed under: uncultured bacterium
Lineage: Bacteria
Description: partial 16S ribosomal RNA
Rfam family: Bacterial small subunit ribosomal RNA
Source: RNAcentral